AGGCAGCAAAGGCGCAGGGGGCUUGCCGGGAAGCCCGGCAGCUUGUUUACAACAUGGCAGCGUCCAGGCGGGCUCAGGUGCUGCGGCUCUAUCGGGCCUUGCUGCGCGAAAGCCAGGGUUUCACCGCCUACGGCUAUAGAACAUAUGCCAUCAGAAGAAUAAGAGAUGCCUUUAGAGAAAACAAAAACACCAAGGAAUCGUCAGAAAUAAAUGCACUAAUCAGCAAAGCAAAAACUAAUCUGGAAAUGAUACACCGGCAGAAUACCUCUGAACCGUAGAAUAACAAGUACAUAAAUAAAAUGCUGUGUAUGCCAACUGCAAAAACAGGAGGUGGGGGAACAAAUGAGGAAACUUCUGGAAUACUAUCCCAUGACUCAGCUUGAUUCUUCUUGUGAAGGAACAGAUGCAUAAUACAUAUGACAAGUGUGAAGGUCACUAUUGGUCAACUGUAUUCAGCAGAGAAGCUUGUUAUUGAGUGCCCACAAAAAAUAUAAUUCUGAUACUUUUUCUGCAAAAGUAGUGGACGAGCCUCAGCAUUCUACGAGAUUUAUAUUUGAAGGCAUAUUACAAUCUGUAUAUAUGACUGAGCUAUCUUAUUCCUCUGGUUUAAAAAUAUAAUGAAGAGUAAUUGUAUAAAGUAUCGUUUUAUCUAGAAUGUUAUUGUUCACGUGCCACUAAAAUGGAUUAGUUUUGUUGUAUAUGAAUGUCACUGUUUGCUCAUACAUUUUCCUGACAAUAAAAUAUUUGCUCACUUCCUUC
RNA transcript from Python bivittatus (Burmese python), 759 nucleotides. It is a transcript of the gene named LYR motif containing 4, with no coding region annotated. NCBI's taxonomy places the organism in Eukaryota, Metazoa, Chordata, Lepidosauria, Squamata, Pythonidae. The record is from RefSeq and is a predicted model, not a curated record.